Choloepus didactylus (southern two-toed sloth) is the source of this 154-nucleotide long non-coding RNA. RefSeq lists it as uncharacterized. The record is from RefSeq and is a predicted model, not a curated record. The transcript has 3 exons. Lineage: Eukaryota; Metazoa; Chordata; Mammalia; Pilosa; Megalonychidae.
CAAGCAGAGGAUCCAGCCCAGGUCACCGUUCUAGAUGAUCAGGACCCAGCGGUGAACCAGAUAGAUGUGUUUUUCUUCUCUCAUGGAGCAUUCUAGAGGGAAACAGAGAAUAAGAGAGUAACAAAUGCAAUAUAAGUAACAUAGCCUUGAUUAC